GCAGUGGAGGCUUAGUGGUAGAAUCCUCCUCUUCCAUGGGGGAAGCCUGGGUUCGAUUCCCAACUGAUGCG
This 71-nucleotide transfer RNA is filed under the name Loxodonta africana (African savanna elephant). It matches the Rfam family "tRNA". From Rfam's summary of the family: Transfer RNA (tRNA) molecules are approximately 80 nucleotides in length. The record is from Rfam by way of RNAcentral. Lineage: Eukaryota; Metazoa; Chordata; Mammalia; Proboscidea; Elephantidae.